CAAAGGGCAAACCUGUCGAAAGUCGGGGUCGCAAAACCAAGGGUCUAACGUGUUUAUCACUAUGACAGCCGGUUGCUA
RNAcentral lists this non-coding RNA (78 nucleotides) under uncultured Xylanibacillus sp. Its description in RNAcentral is "Cyclic di-GMP-I riboswitch". It matches the Rfam family "c-di-GMP-I riboswitch aptamer". From Rfam's summary of the family: GEMM was predicted in a large-scale screen for bacterial structured RNA regulatory elements. The record is from RNAcentral. Lineage: Bacteria; Bacillati; Bacillota; Bacilli; Caryophanales; Paenibacillaceae.